UGGUUGCUUUUGGCCAGGGACAAGGCGCACGCACGCCUCCCAGGCUCUCUGCGGCUCCAAAGCCUCAUGGCAAUUCUGUAUGCUCCAGCAGGCUGCAUACAGCUCUUCGGUUUUGUCUCGAAGCUCCCUCCAGACAUUAGCGCGAGGAGGCACCCAGGAAGAGAAGCCGGGUUAGAGAGUUCCUCCAGCUGCACUGAAAAAUCCCGAGGUGUGCGCUCCACAUUUUAUAGACGGCACCGGGGAUAGCAUGGAUCUGUUUUCCACAAAGCCUCAAAGAAUAGAGAACGUCCACUGCCCACCAGGAGCUGAUGAAGAGGCCUGGCCAGCCAUGAGCAAAUGUGGACCAAUUAAAAAUUUUUCUUCCUGAUCCUUAAUGAUUCCAAUUUCCUUUGUUAAUACAGCUCCCCUGAAUGCAAACAGCUCAGAUGGUGCUAAUUUAGCAUUCAUGAAGGUUCACUGGGUAGACAUCCGCAUGAGAGUGACUUCUAAUGUAGACCCUUUAUGCUACGCUUCCCGAUUCUUACAUAAGGCUUCAUUGAUGACUGGAGUCACGGCUUUGUGUCACAUACGAAGUUCAGGAACUGGCAAAGCAGAAGAUUUUUUUUAAACUGGAAAAGGCCAAGUGUUUGAUAUUUUUGUCUUAUAAAGCCGGUUAUUCCACUACCGUCAAAUGACAGAUUAAUUUCUGUGACAUUAGCCCAUGUUAAAUAUACAAAAUUAAAUGCUUCUCUUCA
Mesocricetus auratus (golden hamster) is the source of this 734-nucleotide long non-coding RNA. RefSeq lists it as uncharacterized. The transcript has 3 exons. The record is from RefSeq and is a predicted model, not a curated record. Lineage: Eukaryota; Metazoa; Chordata; Mammalia; Rodentia; Cricetidae.